UUCAUGCAUAUCUCUUUCCUCUCCAACAUCCUCUUUUCUCCAGAUCUCUUCUAAGGAGUUUAUCUUCUUCAAUUUUCAUCUUCAGAUCUGUGUAGAUUGUUCCUUGAUCUACGUUUUGGAUAUGGAUUUGCCGUUGUUCUGUAUCAGAACAGUGAUUAGCCGGACGAAUGGCGUGACGGUUCGAUGUUUGUCGACUUUGGCCGACGGUUGACGAAGAGAUAGUAAAUCUGGUGCUUUUUUGUGCUGGUUUGAGGUAGAUGAGCAUCGUGGAGCAUCAGAUCUGUUCGUUCUUCAUAGAUUUGUGGAGGUUGGAGCUAACGUUUCAGCAACCGAGGUGUUAUCCUCGCGAUUGUUCAACCUUUGUUCGCAAGAGAUUUACUGAUUUGAUAAGAGAUGCAAGGAAUAUCCAAUUGGUGCCUCGUUGUCACGGAUAAAACAGUUUUGACCGGUUAUCAUCGGCCGAAGGUUGAUUCAGAGAACGUGAUGGUGGAUCUGAGGUUAUGAUGGUUUAAUUUUGAUGUUUAUAAUUAUUUAAAUGUUUUAUUUGCGUUAGUUUUUAAUUUAUACAUGCAUAUGUACGAGAGAUGAAAGAAUGAGUGAAGACGUGCGAGGUAUGAGAGGAAAAAAGUGAGGUAUUUAUUGUUCCAUGUUACCAGGCCUUUGCCAUGUUGGGUGCGCUCGCAUGGCAGGUCAAAAGAACCUAAUAAAAAUAUUUUUUUUGGUGUUGGAGAGGAGAGGCACGGGGUUUUGCCCGGAUCUCCUCUCUCUGUGUGUCGCGUCCUUUUUAUUUUUCAUGCUCUUCCCUUGCUCCUGCGUCCAACAAUUUUUGCAUCGAUCCAGUGGUUACUUGUUUUUCAAGGACAAGUAACUCAUGUUGAUUUGCUUAAUAAGGCGAUGGACAAAGCAACGAUUCUACUGCAGCACUCCACCAGAGGUAUAAUAUUAAUUCCCUUCGCGAAAUUUUACAUUCACACUUUCCAUAUCAGCUUCCAUAUCUAAAUUACUUUCCUUUAUAAUCACUAAGACACUAAUUGAUACUCGUAUUAUUUCUAAUCGCUAGUUUUAGAAUUAUUCCACAUCGUUUUGUUAUAAAGCUAAACUUUUAUUUCUUAUCACCUUUAACUUUUCAUUGAAGUAGCUUUAAACUAUUUUAUAAAUUAUUUUGGCAAGUCUCUUUUCUCACUUAUCCUUACAUGAUAUGCAAUAUAACCAUGAUAUUAUUUUAGAAAAUUUACGCUAAUUAAUAGUUAUUGGAGGUCAUGCACUUGUUUUUUUCUUCAAAAAUUGAAAUACUAACAACUACACAAGACAUUAAUUCUUCUGUAAGGCAUCAACUAUUAGUUGCGUUCGGACUUGGGCUUCGUUCUAAUAAUUAUUUAGCCUUCCAACAGCUCAAUUUUGAAGUAUUAUUUGAAUAUUAUUAGGUAUCUUUAGGUGAAUAAAAUAUACAUAUAAAAUAUGUUAUUCAAAAAGCCGUCUUCUCAAAAUAAGUUGCGUGUAAGAACCAUUAUCAAGGCAUAAGAAAGGCUUCAAACCAUUAUAUCUUCAAUUUCUUUUGCUUGAGGAUUGCUGUGUUACAACUCUUUUUUCAUUUUAUCACGUGGCUCUCUUUUUCAUUGGCAAUUAGUACCUUUUCUUCAUUGUAGAGGAGUUAAUUUCUUUCAGUAAUAUCUGUGGUAUGAGUUCUAGUGGGGAACAACUAUGUUUCUUUUAAUUGGUGUUGUAAGUGUUCCAAUCAUUGGGAGAUUCCUGUCAUGGCUCCCCUUUUGUAGCCCUCUGGAAGGGUACUUUUUUAGGCAGGUUUGGGAUUUUGACUGUUCAAUCAAUUCCGAUGUACUGGUUAGAUCUUUCGCAUCUCAGUUGAUGAUGGAUAUUUUUGCAACAUAAAACUUGGGAGUAUCUUUGUUUCUUGUUCGUGCUGGUUGAAGUCUCAACUUGUGCUGGGAAAGUGCUGCUUUCUUGAUGCAUGGAUGUUUUGAGUGAUGUUCUCAAGUAAUGUUUGAGCUGCUGCUGCUGCUGCUGCUGUUGAAGUCGAAGAUCUGAAGACUCGUUUGCUGCUGCUGUUGAAGUUGUAGAUUUGAGUUGUACUCUUGGUUUGUUCAGUGGUUGAGUAUAUUUACUUGAUUUUGAUGAUUCCGUGACACUUGAACUUGUCGCUGUUGCUUGUUAGAAGCUGUAUUGUGUAAUCAGUAAGACGCAAUAGUGGCCUGGUCAUUCUGUAUGCCAUUCUCUGUUCCGCGAGGAACUCUCAGAACAGGAUACUUGUUCUCAUACCAGAUUAUUGCAAGAGCAGAAGCUGUAGUUUUUCCCCUGUAGUACUUGCUCUCAAAAAACUUGUAGCAGAUAACCAUCUUCUCCUCUUGAGUCUUUAUUAAUCAUUCUGCUGCUACUCGAGGUCAGGACUUUAUUUCUAUUAGACUGGAAUGUAAAACGUGUUUUCAUGAUGUAUGGACACAAUUAACAGUUCUCAUGAAGGCCAGAUGGUGCGUUUAAUUCUCCUCUUUUGAAGGUGCUGUUCUGCUGUGCGUAAUGGUUUGAAGUUUCAUUUUUAAUACUACAGUGAUUACUUUUUGGGUAAACUGUGUGAAUACCGAUAAUUUGGUUUUUGGCUCUGUAUUUUUCGUUUCUAGAAAAUGUCCGUGCUUGCCGGAAUGUUGUGUCGAGAGUAGCUUGGGGUGUCUUCUUGGUCGUGAAAGAUUUGUCUUUUUAAUAUGAUAUUUGAGUUAUUGUGGUU
Solanum stenotomum is the source of this 2734-nucleotide long non-coding RNA. RefSeq lists it as uncharacterized. The transcript is spliced from 3 exons. The record is from RefSeq and is a predicted model, not a curated record. NCBI's taxonomy places the organism in Eukaryota, Viridiplantae, Streptophyta, Magnoliopsida, Solanales, Solanaceae.